Molecule: non-coding RNA, 23 nt
Filed under: Arabidopsis thaliana (thale cress)
Lineage: Eukaryota; Viridiplantae; Streptophyta; Magnoliopsida; Brassicales; Brassicaceae
Source: RNAcentral
GAAGAAAAUGGGGUUGUCUCUUA